Molecule: ribosomal RNA, 786 nt
Filed under: Sordariomycetes sp. TC247a
Lineage: Eukaryota; Fungi; Ascomycota; Sordariomycetes
Description: eukaryotic LSU rRNA
Rfam family: Eukaryotic large subunit ribosomal RNA (bases 468-786)
Source: RNAcentral
CCAAACCCCUGUGAACAUACCUAUGUUGCUUCGGCGGUUUCGUCCCGGGCGCCCUGUGUGUCCCGGAGCUAGGCGGCCGCCGGAGGAUACAAACUCUUGUUUUAUUGAGAAUCUUCUGAGUAUAACAAACAAAUAAAUUAAAACUUUCAACAACGGAUCUCUUGGUUCUGGCAUCGAUGAAGAACGCAGCGAAAUGCGAAAAGUAAUGUGAAUUGCAGAAUUCAGUGAAUCAUCGAAUCUUUGAACGCACAUUGCGCUCGCCAGUAUUCUGGCGAGCAUGCCUGUCUGAGCGUCAUUUCAACCCUCAAGUCCCCUUGGACUUGGUGUUGGGGAUCGACCCGCCCCCUGUGGGAGGGCCGUCCCCUAAAUCUAGUGGCGGACCCGCUGUGGCCUCCUCUGCGUAGUAGUGAUACCCCGCAUGUGGAGUGCAGUGAGCCCCUGCCGUUAAACCCCCAACUUUUUCAGGUUGACCUCAGAUCAGGUAGGAAUACCCGCUGAACUUAAGCAUAUCAAUAAGCGGAGGAAAAGAAACCAACAGGGAUUGCCUUAGUAACGGCGAGUGAAGCGGCAACAGCUCAAAUUUGAAAUCUGGCCCUAGGCCCGAGUUGUAAUUUGUAGAGGAUGUUUCUGGCGACGUGCCUUCCGAGUUCCCUGGAACGGGACGCCAUAGAGGGUGAGAGCCCCGUACGGUUGGUUGCCUAGCCUUUGUGAAACUCCUUCGACGAGUCGAGUAGUUUGGGAAUGCUGCUCUAAAUGGGAGGUAUACGUCUUCUAAAGCUAAAUACC